This 604-nucleotide long non-coding RNA is filed under the name Physcomitrium patens. Its description in RNAcentral is "long non-coding RNA (PPAT_LNC014704)". The record is from RNAcentral. Lineage: Eukaryota; Viridiplantae; Streptophyta; Bryopsida; Funariales; Funariaceae.
CGAUGGGAUUAUGCGAAGCUAUGGGCGAGGUCAGUACAGCUUUUCUUCAAAUUUGACUGACGCACUUGCCGUAUGGUGCUGUUAAGGUCAAUGUCAGCGGGGAAUUCCGUGCUGCUUGUGUCAAAUCCAUGACGUUCAAGGAUGGUUGCAUGAUACCAUCUGGAAGCCCUGUCAACGAUUACAUCGACAGUGCCGUUAGACACGUCAUGUUGCGGCAGGCACGUGUGGACAUUUUUUGUCUAAUGGUGGCUGUUUCUUCAUGCUAGAGACCUAUUACACUUCUACAACGUUUCAUGUUUUUAAUGCUACAUCAUUUUCUACAGAAAUAUGAGACUUGUCAGUUGUCUUCCUUACUGUGCAGGGAGUAUUGGGUAUCAAGGUGAAGAUUAUGCUCGACUGGGACCCCAAGGUCAAGCAAGGAUCUGUGACUCUACUUCCAGAUGUGGUGACCAUUCACAUGCUCGAAGAGGACGAGAAUUUUUACCCACAAGGCUUAUAUUGGAAAAAAUAGCAGAGAUGUAAAACUUGGCUUUAAGAAUAAUACAGUUUUUAAAUUGAGCCCGAAAUUGUAUCCAUUUUGCGAUUAUGAAUCGUUUGCUAGAGU